UGGACAUCUGUGGAUGAAGACACACAAUUCUGAGCAGAUCUGAGACUGAACUCCAUCAACAGGAAACAUGAAGACAUAAAGUGACCAGUCCUGUACUUACGGCUUGUAAGCGCUGCUCCUCUCGUCUCGUCUCAAGCACAAUCUUCAUGUGUUCUUCCUCAGGAUCCGUUAUGAUACAGCGGUGGAGCGUUGCAUUAACAGAGCAAGAGGUUGUGGGUUCAGUUCCCAGGAAACACACGGAGACAUCUGUGGACGUUUGGAUUCAUCUAAAUCCUCUUUGAUAGAUGAUGAUGAUGCAGCAGUCGGUCAGAAGACGGCGUGGUGAUCAUACGGUCUUAAAUCUGGAACCAAAGGAUGACGAGGGUGUCACAUUUACACCCAGAACCGUCACAGAGAUGCAUCGGAUCUCGAGUGUGUUCUCAGGACAGAACUAACAGCUGCUGGAUUACAGGAGGACGAGACAUUAAAAGCACUUCACUCACACUAGCUGCUGUUAUGAAGCGCUGACAUACAGGGUUACACAGAGAAGAUGCUUUAUUUAAAGUGAUACACAUACACUCGCUUGCUUUAUAGAAUAUUAAGAAACUGUAUCUUCAUCUGUGCAUCUCACAAUGAAAUGUCUACAGUAUAUUUAAUCCCAAAACCAAAGAAAAAAAUAUAAAUAUACAGUAUUGGAAAUUAAGCCUGUUUAAGAAACAUUCUUACUUUAGAUUUUUGGCAUUAUUUUCAUCAGUCUAAGCAUACUUCCAUCGAAAAGUUCAGUUACUGUAAUUUGUGUUUUUCUGUUUUUAUUUUCAGCUGUGAAUUUAAUAACUGUUUUACAGUAAUAUCUCAGGAAAGCAGCUGGAACUCACAGUCAUGAAUGUUUUGGAUAACUAUAAUUUUAUAACUAUAAUGAAUAAUCAGGUUAUCUUAUAUGAUGUAUCUAAAAAAAAAAUUAAUAAUAUAUAUAUAUGUAAAAUAUUAUAUA
Long non-coding RNA from Cyprinus carpio (common carp), 970 nucleotides. RefSeq lists it as uncharacterized. The record is from RefSeq and is a predicted model, not a curated record. Lineage: Eukaryota; Metazoa; Chordata; Actinopteri; Cypriniformes; Cyprinidae.